AGAGUUUGAUCAUGGCUCAGAUUGAACGCUGGCGGCAGGCCUAACACAUGCAAGUCGAACGGUAACAGGAAGCAGCUUGCUGCUUUGCUGACGAGUGGCGGACGGGUGAGUAAUGUCUGGGAAACUGCCUGAUGGAGGGGGAUAACUACUGGAAACGGUGGCUAAUACCGCAUAACGUCGCAAGACCAAAGAGGGGGACCUUCGGGCCUCUUGCCAUCAGAUGUGCCCAGAUGGGAUUAGCUAGUUGGUGAGGUAACGGCUCACCAAGGCGACGAUCCCUAGCUGGUCUGAGAGGAUGACCAGCCACACUGGAACUGAGACACGGUCCAGACUCCUACGGGAGGCAGCAGUGGGGAAUAUUGCACAAUGGGCGCAAGCCUGAUGCAGCCAUGCCGCGUGUAUGAAGAAGGCCUUCGGGUUGUAAAGUACUUUCAGCGGGGAGGAAGGUGUUGUGGUUAAUAACCGCAGCAAUUGACGUUACCCGCAGAAGAAGCACCGGCUAACUCCGUGCCAGCAGCCGCGGUAAUACGGAGGGUGCAAGCGUUAAUCGGAAUUACUGGGCGUAAAGCGCACGCAGGCGGUCUGUCAAGUCGGAUGUGAAAUCCCCGGGCUCAACCUGGGAACUGCAUUCGAAACUGGCAGGCUUGAGUCUUGUAGAGGGGGGUAGAAUUCCAGGUGUAGCGGUGAAAUGCGUAGAGAUCUGGAGGAAUACCGGUGGCGAAGGCGGCCCCCUGGACAAAGACUGACGCUCAGGUGCGAAAGCGUGGGGAGCAAACAGGAUUAGAUACCCUGGUAGUCCACGCCGUAAACGAUGUCUACUUGGAGGUUGUGCCCUUGAGGCGUGGCUUCCGGAGCUAACGCGUUAAGUAGACCGCCUGGGGAGUACGGCCGCAAGGUUAAAACUCAAAUGAAUUGACGGGGGGCCCGCACAAGCGGUGGAGCAUGUGGUUUAAUUCGAUGCAACGCGAAGAACCUUACCUGGUCUUGACAUCCACAGAACUUUCCAGAGAUGGAUUGGUGCCUUCGGGAACUGUGAGACAGGUGCUGCAUGGCUGUCGUCAGCUCGUGUUGUGAAAUGUUGGGUUAAGUCCCGCAACGAGCGCAACCCUUAUCCUUUGUUGCCAGCGAUUAGGUCGGGAACUCAAAGGAGACUGCCAGUGAUAAACUGGAGGAAGGUGGGGAUGACGUCAAGUCAUCAUGGCCCUUACGACCAGGGCUACACACGUGCUACAAUGGCGCAUACAAAGAGAAGCGACCUCGCGAGAGCAAGCGGACCUCAUAAAGUGCGUCGUAGUCCGGAUUGGAGUCUGCAACUCGACUCCAUGAAGUCGGAAUCGCUAGUAAUCGUGGAUCAGAAUGCCACGGUGAAUACGUUCCCGGGCCUUGUACACACCGCCCGUCACACCAUGGGAGUGGGUUGCAAAAGAAGUAGGUAGCUUAACCUUCGGGAGGGCGCUUACCACUUUGUGAUUCAUGACUGGGGUGAAGUCGUAACAAGGUAACCGUAGGGGAACCUGCGGUUGGAUCACCU
RNAcentral lists this ribosomal RNA (1531 nucleotides) under Salmonella enterica subsp. enterica. RNAcentral describes it as "bacterial SSU rRNA". It matches the Rfam family "Bacterial small subunit ribosomal RNA". The record is from RNAcentral. Lineage: Bacteria; Pseudomonadati; Pseudomonadota; Gammaproteobacteria; Enterobacterales; Enterobacteriaceae.